CACUCCUACGGGAGGCAGCAGUGGGGAAUAUUGCACAAUGGGCGCAAGCCUGAUGCAGCCAUGCCGCGUGUAUGAAGAAGGCCUUCGGGUUGUAAAGUACUUUCAGCGGGGAGGAAGGCGAUAAGGUUAAUAACCUUGUCGAUUGACGUUACCCGCAGAAGAAGCACCGGCUAACUCCGUGCCAGCAGCCGCGGUAAUACGGAGGGUGCAAGCGUUAAUCGGAAUUACUGGGCGUAAAGCGCACGCAGGCGGUCUGUCAAGUCGGAUGUGAAAUCCCCGGGCUCAACCUGGGAACUGCAUUCGAAACUGGCAGGCUAGAGUCUUGUAGAGGGGGGUAGAAUUCCAGGUGUAGCGGUGAAAUGCGUAGAGAUCUGGAGGAAUACCGGUGGCGAAGGCGGCCCCCUGGACAAAGACUGACGCUCAGGUGCGAAAGCGUGGGGAGCAAACAGGAUUAGAAACCCCUGUAGUCCCAUGAU
This 476-nucleotide ribosomal RNA is filed under the name uncultured organism. RNAcentral describes it as "partial 16S ribosomal RNA". It matches the Rfam family "Bacterial small subunit ribosomal RNA", at positions 334 to 801 of the family's 1533-position model. The record is from RNAcentral.